RNAcentral lists this transfer RNA (70 nucleotides) under Ictidomys tridecemlineatus (thirteen-lined ground squirrel). RNAcentral describes it as "Spermophilus tridecemlineatus (thirteen-lined ground squirrel) tRNA". It matches the Rfam family "tRNA". From Rfam's summary of the family: Transfer RNA (tRNA) molecules are approximately 80 nucleotides in length. Their secondary structure includes four short double-helical elements and three loops (D, anti-codon, and T loops). The record is from Rfam by way of RNAcentral. Lineage: Eukaryota; Metazoa; Chordata; Mammalia; Rodentia; Sciuridae.
GGGGAUAUAGCUCAAUUGGUAGAGUACUUGCUUUGUAUGUGCAAGGCCCUGGGUUCAAUUCCCAGCACCA